CAGAUUUCACGUAAUCUUCAGGAAGUAUAAUAUUCGUGUUAUAUGCAAAUGAUGCCAUUUUCCAUACAAUAUACCGUUUAUAUUUGAGAUUGAUAAAAUAACGUCAGUUUAAUGUAUCUGUAGCACGGGAAUCAAUUAAAUAAAUUUUCCUCGACAUUUUCGACAAUGAAAUUAUCUAUUCUUCUCGCCUUCUGCUUCCUCUGUUGCAUAGUGGUUUAUGGCAUUCGUGGCUUUUGUGGCAGACGAGGUUGUCCACGAAAUUCUACAGCUUGCAACAGUUAUUGCAACGAAAGAUACUCAAAUGCUUGUGGACGCUGUGGCAAAGUUCUCCACCAUUGCUGUUUCUGCAAAAAGCAUCGCAGUUAUUGCAAUCGAACGUCUGAUUUGCAGUAUAAUAAGUGAGAC
Centruroides sculpturatus (bark scorpion) is the source of this 405-nucleotide long non-coding RNA. RefSeq lists it as uncharacterized. NCBI's taxonomy places the organism in Eukaryota, Metazoa, Arthropoda, Arachnida, Scorpiones, Buthidae. The transcript is spliced from 3 exons. The record is from RefSeq and is a predicted model, not a curated record.